CUUAAGUGAUGACAUUACCUUGUGAAAGUCCUUUUCCUGGCUUAUCCUGGCUCAAAAAGCACCCCCACUGAGCACCUUGCAACCCCCACUCCUGCCCGCCAGAGAACAAACCCCCUUUGACUGUAAUUUUCCUUUACCUACCCAAAUCCUAUAAAACGGCCCCACCCUUAUCUCUCUUUGCUGACUCUCUUUUCGGACUCAGCCAGCCUGCACCCAGCUGAAAUAAACAGCCAUGUUGCUCACACAAAGCCUGUUUGGUUGUCUCUUCACACGGACGUGCAUGAAAUUUGGUGCCAUGACACGGAUCGGGGGACCUCCCUUGGGAGAUCAAUCCCCUGUCCUCCUGUUCUUUGCUCCGUGAGAAAGAUCCACCUAUGACCUCAGGUCCUCAGACCAACCAGCCCAAGGAACAUCUCACCAAUUUUAAAUCAGGUAAGCGGCCUCUUCUUACUCUCUUCUCCAACCUCUCUCACUGUCCCUCAACCACUUUCUCCUUUUCACUCUUCAAUCUCUCCCUUCUCUUAAUUUCAAUUCCUUUCAUUUUCUGGGAGAGACAAAGGAGACACAUUUUAUCCGUGGACACAAAACUCCGGCGCCGGUCACAGACUGGGAAGGCAGCCUUCCCUUGGUGUUUAAUCAUUGCAGGGACACCUCUCUGAUUAUACACCCACAUUUCAAGGGUGUCAGACUACGCAGGGACGCCUACCUUGGUCCUUCACCCUUAGCGGCAAGUCCCACUUUUCUGGGGAAGGGGCAAAUACCCCAACCCCUGCUCUCCUUGUCUCUACCCCUUCUCUGCUUUUCUGGGAGAGGGGCAAGUACCCCUCAACCCCUUCUCCUUCACCCUUAGUGGCAAGUCCUGCUUUUCUGGGAGAGGGGCAAGUACCCCUCAACCCCUUCUCCUUCACCCUUAGCGGCAAGUCCUGCUUUUCUGGGAGAGGGGCAAGUAUCCCUCAACCCCUUCUCCUUCACCCUUAGUGGCAAGUCCCACUUUUCUACAGGGCAAGAACCCCCAAUCCCUUAUUUCCACACUCCAACCUCUUAUCUCUGUGCCCCAAUCCCUUAUUUCUGCACCCCAACCUCUUAUCUCUGUGCCCCAAUCCCUUAUAUCUGCACCCCAACCUCUUAUCUCUGUGCCCCAAUCCCUUAUAUCUGCACCCCAACCUCUUAUCUCUGUGCCCCAAUCCCUUAUUUCCACACCCCGACCUCUUAUCUCUGUGCCCCAAUCCCUUAUUUCUGCACCCCGACCUCUUAUCUCUGUGUCCCAAUCCCUUAUUUCCGAGCCCCAACCUCAUAUCUCUGCGCCCCAAUCCCUUAUUUCUGUGCCCCAACCUUUUAUAUCUCUGUGCCCCAAUCCCUUAUUUCCGAGCCCCAACCUCAUAUCUCUGCGCCCCAAUCCCUUAUUUCUGUGCCCCAACCUUUUAUAUCUCUGUGCCCCAAUCCCUUAUUUCUGCACCCCAACCCCCUUUCCCACUUUUCUGGAAGGUAAGAACCCCCAAACCCCAUCCAUCCAUUUCUAUACUCUCUCUUUUCUCUAGGCUUCCUUCCUUCACUAUGGGCAACCUUCCACCCUCCAUUCCUCCUUCUACUCCCUUGGCCUGUGUUCUCAAAAACUUAAAACCUCUUCAACUCACACCUGACCUAAAACCUAAAUGCCUUAUUUUCUUCUGCAAUGCCACUUGACCCCAAUACAAACUCGACAGUAGUUCCAAACAGCCAGAAAAUGGCACUUUGAAUUUUUCCAUCCUGCAAGAUCUAAAUAAUUUUUGUCGUAAAAGAGGCAAAUGGUCUGAGAUGCCUGACGUCCAGGCAUUCUUUUACACAUCAGUCCCUUCCUAGUCUCUGUACCCAGUGCAACUCGUCCCAAAUCUUCCUUCUUUCCCUCCUGCCUGUCCCCUCAGUACCAACACCAAGCAUCGCUGAGUCCUUCUAAUCUUCCUUUUCUACAGACCCAUCUGACCUCUCCCUUCCUCCCCAGGCUGCUCCUUGCCAGGCCAAGCUAGGUCCCAAUUCUUCCUCAGCCUCUGCUCCUCCACCCUAUAAUCUUUUUACCACCUCCCCUCCUCACACCUGGUCCGGCUUACAGUUUCCUUCCAUGAUUAGCCCUCCCCCACCUGCCCAGCAAUUUACUCUUUAAAAGGUGGCUGGAGCUAAAGGCAUAGUCAAGGUUAAUGCUCCUUUUUCUUUAUCCCAAAUCAGAUAGCAUUUAGGCUCAUUUUCAUCAAAUACAAAAAUCCAGCCCAGUUCAUGGCUCGUUUGGCAGCAACCCUGAGACGCUUUACAGCCCUAGACCCUAAAAGGUCAAAAGGCCGUCUUAUUCUCAAUAUACAUUUUAUUACCCAAUCUGCUCCCAACAUUAAAUAAAACUCCAAAAACUGGAAUUUGGUCCUCAAACCCCACAACAGGACUUAAUUAACCUCACCUUCAAGGUGUGCAAUAACAGAAAAAAGUUGCAAUUCCUUGCCUCCACUGUGAGACAAACCCCAGCGACAUCUCCAGCACACAAGAACUUCCAAACGCCUGAACUGCAGCAGCCAGGUGUUCUUCCAGAACCUCCUCCCCCAGGAGCUUGCUACAAGUGCCAGAAAUCUGACCACCAGGCCAAGGAAUGCCUGCAGCCCAGGAUUCCUCCUAAGCUGUGUCCCAUCUGUGUGGGACCCCACUGGAAAUCGAACUGUUCAACUCACCUGGCAGCCAUUCUCAGAGCCCCUGGAACUCUGGCCCAAGGCUCUCUGACUCCUUCUUGGCUUACCGGCUGAAGACUGACGCUGCCUGAUCGUCUCAGAAGCCCCGUAGACCAUCACGGACGCCGAGCUUUAGGUAACUCACAGUGGAGGUUCUGCACUGUCAUCGCCUUUCUGGUGUGGUUCCUGAUAGCACUCUCCAAUCAACCCCCUGUAAGGCAAUCUCAUUUUGGGAAACCCAACCUAUGACUGCAAUGCAAACAUUCUUUUCUACCUUUGUUAUAGAAUCUUUUAUUAAAUUGACAUUGCUCAUGAA
This is a long non-coding RNA of Gorilla gorilla gorilla (western lowland gorilla), 3000 nucleotides long. RefSeq lists it as uncharacterized. Lineage: Eukaryota; Metazoa; Chordata; Mammalia; Primates; Hominidae. The record is from RefSeq and is a predicted model, not a curated record. The transcript is spliced from 2 exons.